This 1158-nucleotide long non-coding RNA is filed under the name Felis catus (domestic cat). Its description in RNAcentral is "lncRNA (ENSFCAG00000050007.1)". The record is from RNAcentral. Lineage: Eukaryota; Metazoa; Chordata; Mammalia; Carnivora; Felidae.
ACCGCCUCCCCAAGUCAUCCCAGAUGACUGAGCAAACCACUCUGAUAUCACAGGUAGGGUCUGAACCCAGGGCACCAGCAGGGUCCAUGGUGCCUGGCUGGACAAUGGUGGUGCCCAGCAGGCAUGGGCUUCUAGGAGUGGGACCCCUAGCAGUCAUGAGGGAGGCUUCGACAGGGACCAAGAUGCUCUAAAUGAGAAGGUGGGGAUGAAUACCAGGAAAACUGGUGACUCCGUCUCUGCCCACAACAUGUUGAGGCUUAGAAACCAUGUUACAUACAGAUGGGGUAAGUGAGGCACAAAGAGGCCAAAUCACUUGCUCAAAGGUGUAGAGCUGUAAAGUGACAAUCCAGAUUUGAACCCAGAUCUUCUUGACUUCUGCUUGUUCUACUAGACCAUGAGCACUUUCAGGAGAAAUCAGAGAAUGUCCGAGGAAUACCAGUAAUCCAGUUGGAUGGAAAAAAAAAAAAUCAUCAGAGGAACAGCAACAAUCAAAGCUGGAAAGGGAAACCAGUUGGCCCACUAUGAGGGGGUGAGUCAGCGACAGUCAAGAGGCCAUUUUAUCAAGCUCACACUGGGAAAAUCAGGUAAAUUACUGACUGGCACAGGGGCAUGCAACCCACGAAACACUCUCCAAGAUUAACUCAUAGUUUCUGGUUUCUGUGUCAGCUUAAAAAGAAAAACAACAACACUAUAAAUCUAUAAAGGCAGAAAGUAGAUUAGUGGUUGCCUAAAAUUCUGGGCGGGGAAGGGACUUGGGGGGAAAUGGGGAGUGUCCCCUAAUAGGUACCAGAGUUUCUUUUCAGGGUGAUGAAAAUGCUCUAAAGGUAAUUGUGGUGAUGGUUGCACAACUCUGUGAAUAUAUUAAGAAGUCAUUGAGUUGUGCCCUUUAAAUAGGCCAUGUAUGUGAGUUAAAUCUCAAUACCGAUUAUUGAAACAAAUAGCCUUGGGGCGCCUGGGUGGCGCAGUCGGUUGAGCGUCCGACUUCAGCCAGGUCACGAUCUCGCGGUCCGUGAGUUGGAGCCCCGCGUCAGGCUCUGGGCUGAUGGCUCAGAGCCUGGAGCCUGUUUCCGAUUCUGUGUCUCCCUCUCUCUCUGCCCCUCCCCCGUUCAUGCUCUGUCUCUCUCUGUCCCAAAAAUAAAAAUAAAAAAAAACAAAACA